This 253-nucleotide ribosomal RNA is filed under the name uncultured bacterium. RNAcentral describes it as "partial 16S ribosomal RNA". It matches the Rfam family "Bacterial small subunit ribosomal RNA", at positions 524 to 776 of the family's 1533-position model. The record is from RNAcentral.
UACGUAGGCAGCAAGCGUUGUUCGGAUUCAUUGGGCGUAAAGGGUGCGUAGGUGGCGAGGUAAGUCGGAUGUGAAAGCUCGGAGCUCAACUCCGAAAUGGCAUUGGAAACUACCUUGCUCGAGGGUUGGAGGGGGGACUGGAAUUCUCGGUGUAGCAGUGAAAUGCGUAGAUAUCGAGAGGAACACCAGUGGCGAAGGCGAGUCCCUGGACAACUCCUGACACUGAGGCACGAAGGCCAGGGGAGCAAACGGG